CUACGGGAUGCUCCAGUGGGGAAUAUUGCGCAAUGGGGGAAACCCUGACGCAGCGACGCCGUGUGAGUGAUGAAGGCUUUCGGGUCGUAAAGCUCUGUCGGAUGGGACGAAUAAGGGCUGUGAGAAUAUUGCAGUCCGAUGACGGUACCGUCGAAGGAAGCACCGGCUAACUCCGUGCCAGCAGCCGCGGUAAUACGGAGGGUGCAAGCGUUAUUCGGAAUUAUUGGGCGUAAAGGACGGGUAGGCGGGCUUGUAUGUCAGAUGUGAAAGCCCCAGGCUUAACCUGGGAAGUGCAUUUGAAACUGCAGGUCUUGAGUACGAGAGAGGAGAGUGGAAUUCCCAGUGUAGAGGUGAAAUUCAUAGAUAUUGGGAAGAACACCGGCGGCGAAAGCGGCUCUCUGGCUCGAUACUGACGCUGAGACGUGAAAGCGUGGGGAGCAAACAGGAUUAGAUACCCCUGUAGGU
Molecule: ribosomal RNA, 465 nt
Filed under: uncultured bacterium
Lineage: Bacteria
Description: partial 16S ribosomal RNA
Rfam family: Bacterial small subunit ribosomal RNA
Source: RNAcentral